UACGUAGGGUCCAAGCGUUGUCCGGAUUUAUUGGGCGUAAAGAGCUCGUAGGCGGCUCAGUAAGUCGGAUGUGAAAACUCGGGGCUCAACCCCGAGACGCCAUCCGAUACUGCUGUGGCUUGAGUCUGGUAGGGGAACACGGAAUUCCUGGUGUAGCGGUGAAAUGCGCAGAUAUCAGGAGGAAUACCGAUGGCGAAGGCAGGUCUCUGGGCUGACACUGACGCUCAUGCACGAAAGCGUGGGGAGCAAACAGG
Molecule: ribosomal RNA, 254 nt
Filed under: uncultured bacterium
Lineage: Bacteria
Description: partial 16S ribosomal RNA
Rfam family: Bacterial small subunit ribosomal RNA
Source: RNAcentral